This 257-nucleotide ribosomal RNA is filed under the name uncultured bacterium. RNAcentral's name for it is "partial 16S ribosomal RNA". It matches the Rfam family "Bacterial small subunit ribosomal RNA", at positions 524 to 776 of the family's 1533-position model. The record is from RNAcentral.
UACGUAGGGGGGCAAGCGUUUGUCCGGAAUCAUUGGGCGUAAAGCGCGUGUAGGCGGCUCGGUAAGUCUGCUGUGAAAGUCCAGGGCUCAACCCUGGGAUGCCGGUGGAUACUGUCGAGCUCGAGUCCGGAAGAGGCGAGUGGAAUUCCUGGUGUAGCGGUGAAAUGCGCAGAUAUCAGGAGGAACACCAGUGGCGAAGGCGGCGACCUGGGUAGAUACUGACGCUGGAGGUGCGAAAGCGUGGGGGAGCAAACAGG